This 505-nucleotide long non-coding RNA is filed under the name Pomacea canaliculata. Its description in RNAcentral is "uncharacterized LOC112553304". Lineage: Eukaryota; Metazoa; Mollusca; Gastropoda; Architaenioglossa; Ampullariidae. The record is from RNAcentral.
UGUUUACCUGGCCGAUCUGUCAUGUAAGGUUAUGAGAAGAAGGUGAGUAUAUAACAAACGAUAUUUGAAAGGUACGACACUCACUUCUCACCGCUAGAAUCACAUCAGACCACCUUGGGAAAACCACUCCACAUCCUCAAAAUGAAGUCUGCUGUUGUCCUGAUGCUGUGCGCCGUCCUGGCCAUCACCUCCGCCAGCUUCUACCCUGGUUACGGCCUCGGUCUUGGUGGAUUGGGGGGUCUGGGAGGAUUUGGGGGUCUGGGUGGAAUUGGAGGUCUAGGUGGAUUUGGACUUGGUGGACUAGGCUUUGGCGGUGGACUUGGCCUCGGUAGAUUCGGCUUGCUGGGCGGUGGUCUGUACGGAGGCUUCAAGGGCGGCUUGUACUACUGAUUGCGGUACAUCUUUCCUUCAAAGUGGUCAUAAUGUGGUCAUUACCGGUGAAUCGUUUUCUUGAUUUGCACUAAUUUCUUCAUGAGGAACCAAUAAAAUGGCGUCAAUAAUAUAA